CACCGUGUAGCGGGGUGAGACACCAGGGGCCUACUCUCCUUCUCAUCAGCCCUGGACCACACUGCCAGACAGAGUGAUUACAGUCUAGAUAAAAGAUAGAUGGAUUUUGAGAAUUUCCUUUGUGGCUCAGUGGAAACAGACGUGACUUGUAUCCAGGAGGGUGCAGGCUCUAUCCCUGGCCUCUCUCAGUGGGUCAGGGAUGCGGUGUUGCUGUGGCUGUGGUGUAGGCCGGCAGCUGCAGCUCCAAGUGGAUCGCUAGCCUGGGAACUUCCAUGUGCGGAAGGUGUGGCCCUAAAAAGCAAAAAACAAAAAACAAAAAACAAAAAGAUAGAUGGGCUUUAAGCCAUACAAAGGAACCCUGCAAAAUCAAAAUUAAUGCAUGUUUAAAGUCUCCAAAAAUGUACGAUAAUACCUGCACAACUCAACUCAGAGAUCUGGUGCAUAUUCGCUCUCUGAUGGCACUCUGCCGAAGGCCUGUAAGUGUCCUGAGCCCCCUUAGAGUUCUUUAAAAGGGCCCGGAAUAAGCACCCCAAUGCCACAGUACUUGAGCUGCAGGCCAGCAUGUUUCAUGCCUGAGGCCUCAAAAACACAGGUCAGGGCAUAGGACCCAGCUACUGUCACAGGGAAAUCAGUGCAGCUCAUAGGAGGAUGUACAGUUUCUGAAAGCUCCUGUAAUCGUUGUGACUUUGCAAUUUGAUGAGAGUCUCUCUUCUGUCUUCUAAACAUGUGCCAGUUCACAGCCCCAAUUCUCAUUUCCCUCCUGCAUUCCCUUUGCUUGUAGCAUCAGCCGAAUUCAGCUCCCUUGGUUCUCUUUAGCUGUAGGUCCUUUAGGAUCUGGUCAGUCUGCAUGUAGGGGCUUGAUAGCAGCUUCUGAGCCGGCUGGGCCAUCCUGGACUAGUGCUGAGCUGGGUUAGGAAGGAAGAGGGUUGUUGGGGUAAUUGCUGUGAAGGUUCAGGGGAGGGAGCAGGAGGGGGGGUUGGAGUGCUAUCAGGCUGUGGUGGGUGAGAAUGGCCAGGCCUUUGAUGGCCUUGGUAGGUCAUUGGCAGGGGCCCACUUCACAGGGAACAUGGCUGGGCUUCCAACCUGAGGGGGACCCUGAAGAAGCCCAUAGCUAGUGGUGUCAGACGCACACACUCCUCCAACUGGACAAGGAGUCACUUCUAGAAGGUCCGUCUGAGUGCAUCUCUGGGGCAGGGACCACUUCCUUGGAACUUUGAUGAAUGCCUGCUUGGUUGGCUGCCAUGUCGGUUGGUGAAAGGCAGAGAUUUGCAGGUGAAGGAUGGUGUUUCAGGACAUAAGAUGCCCACAUCUGGAACCAGACCCUGGUUGGAGAUCUCACCACCCCACCUGCCCCCUGCGCUCUUGCUUGAGCUUCCUUGGCAGGGACUUUUCCAGGCAGGUUUUGAUGGAGCGCCGUAGACCUCGUGCUUCCGAGGAUGUAGAGUCCAAUGGGAGCCGCUAAGAUCCAAGGGUUCCUCAAGGUGGAGUCUCAGUUCCUGAAAGCAGUGACCUGGCAGCUGGGAGAUGACAGUGGCAUCUCUGUGACAUCUAAGGCACCAGGCGGGUGCUGUCCCACUGAGAAGUCAGCCCUCACAGGGGCUAGCAGCACAUGUGCUGUUUUGAUGGGUCCAAGCCAGGCUAACGGUCAGGGAUUCGCCUCCAGAACCGCGUUCUCUGGGACCUGCGCUGGUUCCAUCAUUCCCAACUCAGAGGAGGGUCGCCGGCUCCCAUAGCUGUGGAGAGCUUUUCUGAUGAUGAUUUAUUAUGGGGUGGCAUCUUCAAAACUUCCCUCUCAAAAGGACAGCUUUAGAAGGCUUCAGAGCAACUUCUAAAUAUUUCAACACGCCCCGCCUCCCUGUUUCAACUUUUGCCUGCUCAGGCUGAAAGCGCUUAAGAUUUAUAAAUCUGGUCAAAGAAUGCUCUGGUGUUAACAACUCUCUAGAAAAAGGUAAUUAAAAAUAGCAUUAAUUUGCACAAUGUAAUCAUUAUGGCAUGAAGCAUUGCGGAAGAUUAAAAUGAUUUCACCAGGGCAAUGAAAGGAUUUUAUGAUUAGAAGGAUGUUAAUUUUCCACAGUGAUUUUCCAAAACGCAGGUCCUGCUUUGUCAAAUCGCCUCUCCUUCCAGAACGGUCUCUGACUGUGGAGGCCGUUACUCAGGGCCCAUCAUGAAACUUUGGAAUUCUGAAAAAUGGAAAGCGGAUAAGGUAGGAAGGAAAACGUAAAUGUCUGCUUUUCUUGGUUCCUUAACUACCACACAUUCAGAGGAAAGCCGGUCUGUUGAGCCUCCUGACAAAUUACCGCAUUUUAUUUGCCUUCAGGGCCUGGAGCCCAAGACUUUUCCCACAGAGCUUGUCUUUCUUUGACUCUCAAUCCCACUCAGAGUUUAUGGUCCUGCUUUUGUGUAAUGUUAGCAAAUGCGGUGGCAUCUGCCAGGCUGAAGGGGGGGUCGUUCCUGGAGGCUCCAUUUAAAGGUUGCCGCAGGUCUUAGGGUCCUUGGAGAAGAAAGCCCGGAGGAGGGGCGCUCUUUCACAGUUGAUGUUGGCCAAAGGCGAAGCUGGAGAGCGGUGUAUCGAAUGACAGCCCUUUGUGUCAGAAUAGUUUCAGUUAAGGGUCCUGCUCAUUUAGCAGGAAAACCCUAUUUGUAGCAUGUUGGCUUCCACAAGCCUGUAUUUGGUCUUCAUUCACUGUUGAAUAGGCACGUGGUGCAUGUGUGUGUGGGGUGUGUGUGUGUGUGUUGGAUGUGUGGUUUGUGUGCUGUAUUUGCUUGUGAGUUGUAUUGUGGUGUGUUUGUGUGUGUGUGUCUUUUCUAUCUGGACGCAUCACCCAGUGACCCCAGAUUCUUCCACUCUGAGGGAAGGAAUGGGCAGAAAGAAAGUGUGUCCGUUUCCUGCAGCUGCUGUUAACAAAUGACCACACUCUGUGUGGCAUAAAAUAGAAGAAAUUUAUCCUCUCGGUUCCGGGGCCCAGAGGUUGGAAAUCAAGGGCCCCUGGCCGUGCCCCUCAGGACGCUCUGGGGAGGAAGCCCUUCUCGGCCCUGCUGGCUUUGGGUGGUUAUGGGUGGUGCUUUGCUCGGUUGCAUCCCCCCAGUCUCUGCCAGCAUCGCCCCACGGUCCUUCCCCGUGAGCAUCUGCUCUGUUCUGUGCCCAGACCUCCCCUCCUGUAAGGACGUCAGUCACUGGGUCAGGGCCACCCUCCGCCAGGUUGACCUCAUCUUAACUUGCUUUUAUCCAUAGACUCUAGUUCUGCGUAAGGUCACGUUCAAUGACACGGGGUGAGGAUUUGAACGUACCUUUUGGGGGAACACAACUCAACCCACAACCAAAGGGCAGGCAUGGAACUAAAAGAUGGCUGAUUGAGGGGACAGGAAACCAACGAACAAGCCAGCCGACAUGCGAACAAAAUCGCUGGACCAGACUCUGGAGGCUGGGCUCUGGGUCUUAGUGCACCUGCCCUCCCCGAGUCACUGACCGUGAUGCUUCCCUCUUCAAGAGGGUUCUGAGCAAAGUCUAGAGUCGGUGGGGACGGGUGCCUGAGUGAUGAGCAAGAUGUGCCUUGGGAGGGGGUGGUGGCAUUUGCACAGCGGAUCCAUCAGCAGCCUGGUUCAUUGUCAUUCCACGCAUGUGUUCACGAUGAGAACCAACGCUUCAAUCCCCAUACUCAAAACUUAGCACUGCACUUAAAUCUGAUUUGGCCGUGGCUCCCAGCAAGGACCUGUGAUCUUGUACCGAUGAUAACGUGAUUUACCAGUGUCCCUGGAAUUCAUAGGGCCAAAUUCUGAUUAUCCACCGUGGGGAUGCAGGGACAUACCCAUAAAAGAAAUGCAUUUUUCCAAAAAAGAUGUAUGCUUUCUAAAAUGACCUCAUAAAUCCUCAAUUAGAAUACAAAAAAUGUUAAGAGUGCCAAGAAGGGAAAACAGAAGUGUGUGUUUUUUGCUCUUCCAUGUUGCCUAAUGAAGGUCUUAGCUAUGGUUAAUAAGAAAUCCUAAAAAAGAAUACCAUUUACUUCCCUAUUUUGUGACUCUUUUUCAUAGAUUUUCUCUCCAAUCAUUCACAUAUACAAUGAAACUUACAGAAUGUCCGGGUCCCUGUCCUAGUCUGCCUGGGCUGACUACCGCAGACCAGGGGCUAAAACAACAGGAAGUUAUCUCUCACGGCUCUGGAUGCUGGAGGUCUGAGAUCAAGGUGGCAGCUGUAUUGACCUCUGCUGAGACCUCUCGCCUCAGCUUGUGGUUAUAGCUGUCUUCUCUCUGUGUCCUCACUUGCUCUCUUCCCAUUGGCUCACAUCUUCCUCGUGUCAUGAGGGCACCAGCCCCAUUGGAUCAGGGCCCCAUCCUUGUGACCUCGUUUAAUCCCAGUUAACCCUUUAAAGCCCCCCCCCCCAAAUAGUCACAUUCUGAGGUACCAGGAAUUGGGGCUUCAAUAUGUGGACUCACAAGUCAGCCUCUAAGUGACAAAGGAGCUUAGAAGCAAGCUGGUCCUCUGUGGUCCUUUUAUACAGAAGAAGGUGCAUUCUGAGUGUUAGGCAGGCUGGACGAGUCUAUGGCAACAAAGCAAGAGGUUGCAGGGCUUCGGCUGCAAGGUUUUUUUCUUGCUCCUGUGAGCUGGCGGGUGAGGGUCCAUGGAAGCCGCUGACCCAAGUCCCUCAAUGUCCAGGUGGGUGGGGUCUCUGAAGCUUGUGUCUGCACCUUCUGGAAUGAGAGGCACCAGGUGGCAGAAGCAAGGGAAAGAGCACAUGUCACUGGAGGUGACACCUGCCCCUUCUGGCUGUCGCCCACUGGCCAGAACUGGUCCCAUGUCUCCUGAAUCCAAAGACGUGGGAAGGUGGGGGGCCACACAGGAACCCUUCUGCUACGACUUUGUCCAGAUCUUUGCUUUGUGUGGUGAUGAGCCACAUGUCACACUUUACUCUGCCGGGAGGAUCACACGUGCAUAAAACUUAACACCUUCACUUUUGUGUGAAAACCUCCCAAAUGUGUGCUAAUGUGCUCUUCUCCUUCUCCUCCUCCUCCUCCUCUUCUUUUUGCAGCCGAACCUGCAUCUUGUGGAAGUUCCCAGGCUACGGGUCGAAUUGGAGCUGCAGCUGUGGCCUACAUGGCAACUUGCAGCAAUGCCAGAUCCUUAAACCCACUGACUGAAGCCAGGGAUCAAACCUGCAUCCUCAUGGAUACUAGUUAGGUUUUUAACCCACUGAGCCUCAACAGAACUCCAUCCUAAUAGGUUUUAUCCUCAUUUUUUCCCCAAAAAGCCUGGCUGGAAGGCUCCUGGGUAGACACCCAGGGGUGUAAUGAUAAAUAAGGCAUGAUCCGUGCCUUCAAGGCCCUUUAAUUCUAGAGGUAGAAAACAGUUGAGGAGUUCCCUGGUGACCUAGUGAUGAAAGGAUCUGGCAUUGGCACUGCUGUGGCAUGGGUUCCAUCUCUGGCCCCGGAACUUCUGCAUACCUUGGGUACAGACAGAAAAAAAGGAAAACAACUGAGAAAGCAGAGUGAGAUAAGAGCUUUCAGAUGAAGGUGGAAGGGAGGAGGGAGCUGCAAAUGCCUUUCCAGGAAAAACGUAUGGAAAGAUGCCCAAGACUUGUGAGCUAGGCGAGAGAACCCACUCCCAGUGUGUGUGUGUGUGCGUGUGCGCGUGCGCGUGCGUGUGUGUGUGUGUGUGUGUGUGUGUGUGUGUGUCCACAAGUGCUCCUUGCAGCAUCUCCUGUGAGCCUGUGAGCUGAGGGCUGUGACGCGGGGCCUCCUUCCUUUGUCCCUGCAAUCCUCUCUGCCUCUGCCUCCCCUUCCCACCCGGUCUACCUGUGGGGUCAUUGCUGGGCUCUGCGUCCCCUGGCUCUGGCUGAGUCCAGCCAGUGGGGAAAGGGUCCCUGGCAGAGGUCAGACAGAGGGAGGGACAGAGAUCUGGGCCUUCUCCCCGGGGUGGUGGGGGGUGGGGGGUGGCAGGUGUCUGCCUCCUACGCUGGGACCCCACCUCCUCUCACCUGUCCUCCAGGCACCUUCUCCUGAGUUCCUGUCCCCGUGCCCUCCUCCCAUUCCUCCAGGCCCGGAGGGGAAACAGCCGGAAAUGGAUGCUGGUAGUUGCUGGAGGGCUUUUAGCAAAGCACCAGAUCACAGGGGGGAGGGGCCAGAUCACAGUAGGGAGGGUGGGCUCUCCAGUGAGUCCCUCGGAGGCUGUGACAACCCUCCCUUGUACACCACUGUGUAAAGUUAGAAUUAAUCAGUCCCACAUCCAUCUCUGCCCUCAAGCCAUCCUCUCCUCUCCUCCACAGGGUUUAAAAACCACUUGCUGGGUUACAUGGAGGCAGAAUCGUGGAAUUGUUUUCUCGGAUGGACCCACAUGCGACUGGAUUCAUCUUUUUUUUUUUUUUUUGCAGUUACAAACUAAACUUCAUUUUAUUUUAUUUUAAUUUUUUAAGUUUUUUUUAUUUUUUCCAUUAUAACUGGUUUACAGUGUUCUGUCAAUUUUCUACGCGCAGCAAGGUGACCCGGUCACACAUACAUAUAUAGAUUCUUUUUUCUCCCAUUAUGAUGCUCCAUCAUAAGUGGCCAGAUGGACUCAUCUUCUUAAAUGAAAAGAGCAUCUGAGAAAACAGCAUCAUUAUGCGAGUCGGUCCUUCCUUUUAACAACCGCUUGGAACGUAAACCACUGUGUUCCUUCCAGCUCUGAAAAUGGAAUUCCAGCUUUCAAAACAGCCAAGGGAGUUAUUUACGUAAUGAACUAAAAACAAAUAAAAAACUCAGCAAGCACCAGGACUCUUCUUAAGGACCCACCUUCCUUGAAGGGCUCUUAUGAGAAUCAGAUGCUCAAAGAACGCAGGGGAAUGCCAGGUCUGGCCAGUGGAGACUCAACGUCGGCUCUUACUUGGGGAGAUGGAGGGUGGGGAGUGGCUGGGGUGUCAGUAAAGCAUCAUGGGACAGGGAACUGCCCUGCGUGGCCGACAGAGGCACAGAGGUGAGGAAGGAGAGGGAGCAGCCAGGGGGGAAAGUGGACCAGGAGCCCAUUCCCGGACCGAGCCACAUUUAAGUAGAGCUGUGGAGGGAGUUCCCGUUGUGGCUCAGUGGUUAACGAAUCUGACUAGGAACCAUGAGGUUGCAGGUUUGAUCCCUGGCCUUGCUCAGUGGGUUAAGGAUCUGGUGUUGCUGUAGACCCAUAACCUGGGAACCUCCAUAUGCCUUGAGAGUGGCCCUAAAAGAGGCAAAAAAAAAAAAAA
Molecule: long non-coding RNA, 7199 nt
Filed under: Sus scrofa (pig)
Lineage: Eukaryota; Metazoa; Chordata; Mammalia; Artiodactyla; Suidae
Description: lncRNA (ENSSSCG00015030920.1)
Source: RNAcentral